Molecule: non-coding RNA, 799 nt
Organism: Microcebus murinus (gray mouse lemur)
Lineage: Eukaryota; Metazoa; Chordata; Mammalia; Primates; Cheirogaleidae
Source: RefSeq, a predicted model, not a curated record
CACAAGAAAUGGAAAGCCCUGCUAAAUACACAGUCAGCCACCUCCAGCCACAGGGCUUUGUGGGACAGCCCAGUUUCUCCUGAAGAAGAGGCCCAUUGUUCUGUUUGGGGGCAGCCCCUCCCAGGGGUUUAUGAAGUGAAGAACUCUGAGGUCACACUGGUCAAACAGCAGACAAUGGGUAACACCCUUCUCUGCCAGUGAACAAACAAACAGCUGCCUCCUAGGAAAGCACAACUGGCCUAGUAGCCUGAGCAUUCAGGGAAAUAAGUGAGCCAGGGCCUAGGUGCUGAGGCAGGGACACAGGGUGCAGAGGGUGGGCACUGUCACAAGGAGACUAAAAACAGAGAAAGGGAAGCCUCCUGUGCUCAAUUCCCUCCUGCUUAGGGGAGGUCCCAUGAAGCAUAUGCUCUGUAAAGCCAGGGGCCAAAGGGCUGCUGGCAUGGAGCCGACACAUGGGAGCAAGGGGUCAAAGCCCUCAAGUUUGAGAAGCUGAAAGCUGCCCAGCUGAGGCCCUGAAGUGGACUCCACUCAAGGGAGUAAGGACCACAGUCAGUAUGAGGAGCCACAGCAGAAACGAGAAGACCAGCUCUUGGAGAAAGAGCAGGGUCUGUCAGAAGAAGUCCAGCAUGGAAUGGCUCCCCAUGGAUGAGCAGGACACAGGCAUAUCUGAACAAACCCCUGGGCACUUCUCUGUGAUCCUAAGAAAGGUCACUGCCCUCAAUCUCACUACCAGAUGUCUUCCCCUGUCUACCUGUGAAGUCCUUGGAGAUAAACACUAUAUAAAAGCACCAACACCUUC